GUCCACGCCGUAAACUAUGGGUGCUAGCCGUUGGGAAGCUUGCUUUUCAGUGGCGCAGCUAACGCAUUAAGCACCCCGCCUGGGAGUACGUCGCAAGAUUAAAACUCAAAGGAAUUGACGGGGGCCCGGCACAAGCGGUGGAGCAUGUGGUUUAAUUCGAAGCAACGCGCAGAACCUUACCUACCCUUGACAUGUCUAGUAUGGGCACCGGAGACGGAGUCCUUCAGUUCGGCUGGCUAGAACACAGGUGCUGCAUGGCUGUCGU
This 265-nucleotide ribosomal RNA is filed under the name uncultured bacterium. RNAcentral's name for it is "partial 16S ribosomal RNA". It matches the Rfam family "Bacterial small subunit ribosomal RNA", at positions 793 to 1055 of the family's 1533-position model. The record is from RNAcentral.